GAGACAAAACGUCAUUUAAACUGUGAGAGAUUGAGUUAUAA
Molecule: non-coding RNA, 41 nt
Filed under: Trypanosoma brucei brucei
Lineage: Eukaryota; Euglenozoa; Kinetoplastea; Trypanosomatida; Trypanosomatidae
Source: RNAcentral